UCUCGGUUCGGUCAAAUCUUCUAAUCUAGUUGUGCGAUUGCUAGUUAUCGUAUCAGUUUCAGCUUACAGCACUUUCGUGUUUUGAGUUGAUCUGGUCGACCACUUUGGGCGAUCUAUGUUGGUUUGAUAUUCGCUGUUUGACAUAUUCAAUCUAGUACUGCCUCGGUUCGGUCCGAUCUAGUAGAUUGCGUUUAUCAGAUGGCUUAUAUCAGAUUGAUGUAUUUUGCUCAUUGUUCUAUCGGAGUACCAGCCGAUAGGUUAUCAGUCAUCGGCUCAUUGGCUUGAUAGCAAUCUAGAUCUAUUUAGUAUCUAUCCCGACAUUGCUAGGUUCAAUCUUGAACUGUCUCGGUUGGAUCCGUUCUUCUAUGAUUAUUCUUAGCAAUUUGGGCUAGGUAUUCUAUAGAUCUUGGUUGUUUAUCCGUCAUCUAUAGC
RNAcentral lists this long non-coding RNA (432 nucleotides) under Oryza brachyantha (malo sina). RNAcentral's name for it is "long non-coding RNA (OBRA_LNC000245)". Lineage: Eukaryota; Viridiplantae; Streptophyta; Magnoliopsida; Poales; Poaceae. The record is from RNAcentral.